Perca flavescens (yellow perch) is the source of this 404-nucleotide long non-coding RNA. RefSeq lists it as uncharacterized. The transcript is spliced from 3 exons. Lineage: Eukaryota; Metazoa; Chordata; Actinopteri; Perciformes; Percidae. The record is from RefSeq and is a predicted model, not a curated record.
UACCUCAUGGAUUUAGUCUCUGCUUUCUGCUGCUGUUAGUUUGUCGUCAUACUUUUGUCAUGAAGUCUGUCCCUGUACCAGCUGUUCCUGUGCUCCAGGUCUCUUCCCUGUGAUUGGACAGUCAUCAGCUUACAUAUCGCCCUGCAACCACCUCUCUCCCUCCUCCCCUCCCCCUCUGUCUGUUUUCAGAUUAUUGCACCCCCUGCUGGUCUUGUGUCUGUACUGCAUCUCUGCAGGUGUGGUGGUGUCAAUCUGCUGCAGCAGGAAGACAAAUGGUCUUACCUGAGAUUCCAAACUAACUAUUCUGGGGUUCGUGGAGAUGCCAGCACUCAAUAAAUUUCUGAAAGAGAAAUGACUCUUACAUAUUUGAGCCCUUCAUAGUUGAAUAAAGUGCAAAUAUUAUA